UCAGGUAGCGGGACCAGGU
RNAcentral lists this unclassified non-coding RNA (19 nucleotides) under Chlamydomonas reinhardtii. RNAcentral describes it as "small RNA Cre_2505". Lineage: Eukaryota; Viridiplantae; Chlorophyta; Chlorophyceae; Chlamydomonadales; Chlamydomonadaceae. The record is from RNAcentral.